This 496-nucleotide ribosomal RNA is filed under the name uncultured bacterium. RNAcentral's name for it is "bacterial SSU rRNA". It matches the Rfam family "Bacterial small subunit ribosomal RNA", at positions 97 to 591 of the family's 1533-position model. The record is from RNAcentral.
GGCGCACGGGUGCGUAACGCGUAUGCAACCUACCUUUAACUGGGAGAUAGCCCCGAGAAAUCGGGAUUAAUACCCCAUAACAUUACGAAUUGGCAUCAAUUUGUGAUUAAAGCUCCGGCGGUUAGAGAUGGGCAUGCGUGACAUUAGCUGGUUGGUGAGGUAACGGCUCACCAAGGCAACGAUGUCUAGGGGUCCUGAGAGGGUUAUCCCCCACACUGGUACUGAGACACGGACCAGACUCCUACGGGAGGCAGCAGUAAGGAAUAUUGGUCAAUGGGCGCAAGCCUGAACCAGCCAUGCCGCGUGCAGGAAGACGGCCCUAUGGGUUGUAAACUGCUUUUAUCAGGGAAUAAACCCCCGCUCGUGAGCGGGGCUGAAGGUACCUGAGGAAUAAGCAUCGGCUAACUCCGUGCCAGCAGCCGCGGUAAUACGGAGGAUGCAAGCGUUAUCCGGAUUCAUUGGGUUUAAAGGGUGCGCAGGCGGAUUGGUAAGUCAG